This 434-nucleotide ribosomal RNA is filed under the name uncultured bacterium. Its description in RNAcentral is "partial 16S ribosomal RNA". It matches the Rfam family "Bacterial small subunit ribosomal RNA", at positions 29 to 507 of the family's 1533-position model. The record is from RNAcentral.
GCGAACGCUGGCGGCAGGCUUAACACAUGCCAGUCGAGCGGGCACUUUCGGGUGUCAGCGGCGGAUGGGUGAGUAACGCGUGGGAACGUGCCCUCUGGUUCGGAAUAACUCAGGGAAACUUGGGCUAAUACCGGAUACGCCCUUUUGGGGAAAGGCUUGCUGCCGGAGGAUCGGCCCGCGUCUGAUUAGCUAGUUGGUGAGGUAACGGCUCACCAAGGCGACGAUCAGUAGCUGGUCUGAGAGGAUGAUCAGCCACACUGGGACUGAGACACGGCCCAGACUCCUACGGGAGGCAGCAGUGGGGAAUAUUGGACAAUGGGCGCAAGCCUGAUCCAGCCAUGCCGCGUGAGUGAUGAAGGCCUUAGGGUUGUAAAGCUCUUUUAUCCGGGACGAUAAUGACGGUACCGGAGGAAUAAGCCCCGGCUAACUUCGUG